Molecule: long non-coding RNA, 425 nt
Organism: Oncorhynchus keta (chum salmon)
Lineage: Eukaryota; Metazoa; Chordata; Actinopteri; Salmoniformes; Salmonidae
Exons: 3
Source: RefSeq, a predicted model, not a curated record
AGAUGGACCUCCUAGACCAGUUAGGUCUGGAUCAGACCAGAUAGAUGGACCUCCUAGACCAGUUAGGUCUGGAUCAGACCAGAUAGAUGGACCUCCUAGACCAGUUAGGUCUGGAUCAGACCAGAUAGAUGGACCUCCUAGACCAGUUAGGUCUGGAUCAGACCAGAUAGAUGGACCUCCUAGACCAGUUAGGUCUGGAUCAGACCAGAUAGAUGGACCUCCUAGACCAGUUAGGUCUGGAUCAGACCAGAUAGAUGGACCUCCUAGACCAGUUAGGUCUGAAUAGCACUUUUACUGUACCAAUGUAUUGUUGUUUUGAAGUUCCUUCUUUACUCAUUUAAUUUAAAUUCUUAAAUAUUUUUUUCCACGUCGUGAAGUUAGUGUGGUGUAAUGGUAUCCUAGAGUUAAUCGUGUGUGUUAGAGCU